AAGUCGUAACAAGGUUUCCGUAGGUGAACCUGCGGAAGGAUCAUUAACACGUAUCCACGUAUCAACCCCUUUGUGCUUUUUUACGUUUUGACGUACCCUGUCUUGAAGGUGAACCCUGAGGUCCCGUGAGAAAUCUGAAUGGUGUCGGAGUGCUUCGGCGCUUCGGCUGUUUUCACGGAACUGUUGCAGCCCUUUAUUGGGAGGCAUCGGGCUCCCUUCUACUGUACAGGCCUUUUUGAUGCUUUUGCCAUUCACGUCGCCCUUUAAAACUAUAAACCCUUUGAAAACAUCUUGCUAACUUUAAUUUGAAUUACGAAAGGCUCACGCCUUUUGCUUUCAAUAUUACGAAAUGCUUGACAACUCUUAGCAACGGAUAUCUUGGUUCUC
Molecule: unclassified non-coding RNA, 387 nt
Filed under: fungal sp.
Lineage: Eukaryota; Fungi
Description: partial internal transcribed spacer region
Rfam family: Eukaryotic small subunit ribosomal RNA (bases 1-46)
Source: RNAcentral